Long non-coding RNA from Astatotilapia calliptera (eastern happy), 1983 nucleotides. NCBI's taxonomy places the organism in Eukaryota, Metazoa, Chordata, Actinopteri, Cichliformes, Cichlidae. The record is from Ensembl.
UCUCGAGACAUCCAACUCUAGAUAAUAUCUCUUGGGUGGUAUGGGAACUCCUUGGUGUUCCCCUGGACAAGCUGGAGGAGGCAGCUAGGGCAGGGGUGGGCAUUCUCAGUCCACGAGGGCCGGUGUCCCUGCAGGUUUUAGAUCUCACCUUGGGUCAACACACCUGAAUCACAUGAUUAGUUCGUUACCAGGCCUCUGAAGAACUUCAGGACAGGUUGAGGAGCUAAUUUAGCCGUUUAAAUCAGCUGUGUUGGUUCGAGGACACAUCUAAAACCUGCAGGGACACCGGCCCUCGAAGCCUGGAGUUGCCCACCCCUGAGCUAGGGAGAGGGAGGUCUGGGCUUUUCUGCUUAGGUUGCUACCCGGCCCCAGAGAAUCUGAAGAAAAUGGAUGGAUGUAUAGAUGUUCCAGGUGUGUCGCCAUGUGGGGAAAAAUGCUUCAACACAUGGUUGGGUUGGUAGUGUACCGGGGGCUUCUAUUUAGGACUACGCUUCCUCCUCACCAUCACUCAGCAAUCAUGUUUUCCCAACUGCUCGGGAAAAUCCGAUGGAAGAGAACUGACGGGGCCUCCGGAGCUACAAACAAGCUACAUUUAUAACAAGUAUAGUUAUUAGUAAAGUAGGCCAAGGGGUAACUAAACAUCUGAGCAGGAAAGAGUAGGAGAGACAGGUGAAGAGCUAAUGCUAAGCUAGCGAAUCCCUAAAGACACAGUGACUGAACACUGUAAAUAUAAUUAGUGGCUGAUUCAACAGAGUGUGCUUUGGAUAAAGCGCAGGAAGAUUACACUAUGAAAUAAGACGUUAUCUAUAAGUUUUUAAUUAAAUUGGCUACACAGAUAAGCAAUGCAAAAAUACCACUGUAAGAUAGAACAGGAAGUGAUACUCCAGACUGAGACAACACCAAGAAGUAUUUUGAAAUGACCUUGAGCAAGAUACUGAACUCUGAGUCGCUAUUGAUAAAUUUAUGCAAAUGUGUGUCUGGUACUUAAGUAUAAGAAAGAGCAUUUACAUGAAUGUUUGUGCGACUGGCUAAUAAGAAUUUUGAGUGCUCAAUUAGAGCACAAAAACACUGUAUAAGUGCCAGUCUACUUGCCGUUUUUCUGCACCACCUUUAGUUUCCAAACCUACUACUGCACCCAUUUGUGCUUAAAGGUUGAGAGGUUUUCAAAAUUCAAACAAAAUGUAACUGUACUAUGAAGCUGUCUCCUCCUCAAAUAAUAAUUAUAUAAAUAGAAAAAGUUGGGACAAGCACAAAAACCUGGAAUCCUGUUAACAAACAAGCAGAAAAACCAACGUCACUGGGGUAAAACGUGUUUGAAGAUCAAAUAUGUACACAAAACUGACAUUGGGUGAUGCAAAAUGGAGGGAAGAGGAAGCAAUUUCUGUUUGGUAUUAUUGUCUAUAGACAAUAAUAUGCUUCAGAAUAUCAUAACCACGAGAGCAUGCUUAUUUAAUUAUCUGCUUUGUGUGCUGAAGACCUUAAAUUCUUUCAACCUAUCUGCUCAGCCCCCGGCUUACUUUUCUACCUCCACUAGUUUCACAGAACAAUCAUGGAGACUAGUAAACACCAACAUAGAUAUAGUACAUCAAACUGUUCAUCAAACUCAGAUGUUCAUGUGGUGUCUUAAAGAAAUGCAGCAGCGUUUAAAGAUUUCUCUCUGUUUGUUGUUUGACAGGCUCAAAUGUGCCCAUACCUGUGCAAAGGAACAAGUUGUUCUAGAAAAAACAACCAAGAGAUGGGAGAGAUUGAUGCAGCUUGAAUUUUAUGCUUUUCAAAUUUGCCUGAAAUAGCUUUGUUUAAAAUGAGAAAUGAAAAUGUAUCAUUGUCUAUACUUUUCACCUGUCCGUUGACUUAAUCCCAAUCACGCUUGUGUAAUUGCUAGUCAGCUGUAUGAAAUACUAAAAAAUGAACAAAAAUAAACGUUCAUUUUCAUUUCUAGUAAGUUUGUUUCUUUAUUCCACAAAUCCUACAAGUCUACAGGUC